RNAcentral lists this ribosomal RNA (253 nucleotides) under uncultured bacterium. RNAcentral describes it as "partial 16S ribosomal RNA". It matches the Rfam family "Bacterial small subunit ribosomal RNA", at positions 524 to 776 of the family's 1533-position model. The record is from RNAcentral.
GACGAACCGAGCGAACGUUGUUCGGAAUCACUGGGCUUAAAGGGCGCGUAGGCGGGUUCGCAAGUCUGUGGUGAAAUCCUCCGGCUCAACCGGAGAACUGCCUCGGAUACUGCGGGUCUCGAGGGUGAUAGGGGUAUGCGGAACUAUCGGUGGAGCGGUGAAAUGCGUUGAUAUCGAUAGGAACUCCGGUGGCGAAGGCGGCUCACUGACCCGUAACUGACGCUGAGGCACGAAAGCGUGGGGAGCAAACAGG